UAAGGAAGCACAUGGUGCAAUCUAGAAGUGACUGAACUUAAUUUUGUGCUUAUGGCCAUUAACAUGCCUCACACUGCUUCUUAGUAAAUCACCCAAAAAACUGUCAUCACCCAACACACAAAAGUUUGGAUUGCCAACGCAAUUUAGCAUUCAUUAUCUGGGAUCUUCAUAAAUCAGACCAUGAUUGUCUAAAAGUUUUGCACAGUACUAUACAUACAGCCAAACCAGUAAAUGGAUAAUUAAAGGCCUUGAUCCAAAAUACAAUAUUAAAGCUGCAACCUGGAAGUAGAAUAUAUAAAAAAAAUGUAAGGGAGUGAGUCUUAGAUAUUGCAUUAAAAUUAUUUGGUGAUCAAUUUUCUAGCACACAGUGGAAAA
Long non-coding RNA from Thalassophryne amazonica, 375 nucleotides. RefSeq lists it as uncharacterized. The transcript is spliced from 2 exons. Lineage: Eukaryota; Metazoa; Chordata; Actinopteri; Batrachoidiformes; Batrachoididae. The record is from RefSeq and is a predicted model, not a curated record.